UAUUAAGAUCGCUCAACUAGACAGGUGCGAGGAGACAAGUGGUGGCUCUCCUUCACCGCAUGCUCUCAUUUCGUUUUCAUCAAAAAAACUUCACUUUAUGUGGAGAAAACAAGACCUUAACAGAACUAAUAACUUGCUAUUUCGGGAUAACGUGUUGUGUCAAUACGUUCCGUGUGCCGCCUCCUGUACUCAGAGCAUUCUUCUGCAUUCUUCUUCUCGAGUGAAUGGAAGAGCAGGUGGUAGUCGCUACGCGUUGCAGAUGAGUAGAGAGCUUUAUACAACGGUAUUGAGCUACUGCGUUCAGGUGGCUGGUUGGCUGGACGUCGUCGUGUGUGGUUGUGUGGCAAAGCACUGAGGCGAACUGGAUGGAUCGGAGCAAGGCCGGGGAAAGAUCCAUGGCUUGAUGAUCCUGAAUGCUGGUGCCGCUGGGAGUGGGGAGCCGCUAGGAGUGGAGAAUGCAAGGGAUUCAUCACAAUGAUCUCGGUGGUGGGUAGAGAGCUCUACACGACAGUAUCGAGCUGCUGCGUUCGGCUGGCUGGUUGGUUGGAUGUCGUCGUGUGUGGUCGUGUGGCAAAGCACUAAGGCAAACUGGAUAGUUCGAAGAAAGGCCGGGGAAAGAUCCAUGGCUUGAUGAUCUUGAAUGCUGGUGCUGCUGGGAGUAGGUGCAGCUCCAGCUCUUGCCAGCUCCAGCUAAUCCAGUGCACACCUCAAGAGAAUGCUGGUGACGCUGGGAGUGGGUGCAGAAUGCUGGUGACGCUGGGAGUGGAUGCAGAAUGUUGGUACCGCUGGGAGUGGGUGCAGCUCUAGCUCUUGCCCCAGUGUUGGAAGCUAAUCCAGUGCAUACUUCAAGAGGUAAGCCACCGUAGGCAGAAGCCACACCUGAGGAGGUAAAACACAAGUCGUGCAGCUCUAAGUCUUGCCGCGAUGUCCACUGCACACCUCAGGAGGUAAGCCGCCAUAGGCAGAAGCCACACCUGGGUAAAACACAAUUACACCUGAGGAAGUAAAACACAAGUCGAGCAAGUUUCUAAGUUUUUUAUUUUUAUUUUUUACAUUAGUUUGUUUUAUGGGUACUGAUUUUGUUCGUGCCUUCAGUUGUAGGUUUUAUCAGAUGAUGAGAAGAAGCCAUUGUAUAUGAUCAGUAUCAUUUUACAAAGAAUUAAGUUUUGGGCCAUCUUGUUCUAGAGCAAGCAAAUGAAUUCAUUUGCAAUAUUUUUAUGACAAUCAAAGUUAACUUUAUGAAUUCAUUUUA
Non-coding RNA from Physcomitrium patens, 1252 nucleotides. The record is from RefSeq and is a predicted model, not a curated record. NCBI's taxonomy places the organism in Eukaryota, Viridiplantae, Streptophyta, Bryopsida, Funariales, Funariaceae.